AGGAUGAACGCUGGCGGCGUGCCUAACACAUGCAAGUCGAACGUCCUGUCUCGCAAGAGGCAGGGAGUGGCGGACGGGUGAGUACCACGUGGGUCAUCUACCGUGAGGUGAGGAAUACCGGCGAGAAAUCGCCGACAAGACCGCAUAGGCUCGAUGCAAGUCGAGCAAAGCUCUUUCGAGAGAGGGAGCGCCACACGAGGAGCCUGCGCCCGAUUAGCUAGCUGGUGGAGUAACGGUUCACCAGGGCGACGAUCGGUAGCUGGUCUGAGAGGACGAUCAGCCACACUGGGAUUGAGAACGGCCCAGACUCCUACGGGGGGCAGCAGUGAGGAUUUUCGUCAAUGGGGCAACCCUGAACGAGCAACGCCGCGUGCAGGAGAAGGUUUUCGGAUCGUAAACUGCUUUUCGUCGGGGAAGAGAACGGACGGUACCCGAGGAAUCAGCCCCGGCUAACUACGUGCCAGCAGCCGCGGUAA
This 476-nucleotide ribosomal RNA is filed under the name uncultured bacterium. Its description in RNAcentral is "SSU rRNA". It matches the Rfam family "Bacterial small subunit ribosomal RNA", at positions 26 to 523 of the family's 1533-position model. The record is from RNAcentral.